GACGAACGCUGGCGGCGUGCUUAACACAUGCAAGUCGAACGGAAAGGCCCUGCUUUUGUGGGGUGCUCGAGUGGCGAACGGGUGAGUAACACGUGAGUAACCUGCCCUUGACUUUGGGAUAACUUCAGGAAACUGGGGCUAAUACCGGAUAGGAGCUCCUGCUGCAUGGUGGGGGUUGGAAAGUUUCGGCGGUUGGGGAUGGACUCGCGGCUUAUCAGCUUGUUGGUGUGGUAGUGGCUUACCAAGGGUUUGACGGGUAGCCGGCAUGAGAGGGUGACCGGCCACAUUGGGACUGAGAUACGGCCCAGACUCCUACGGGAGGCAGCAGUGGGGAAUAUUGCACAAUGGGCGGAAGCCUGAUGCAGCAACGCCGCGUGCGGGAUGACGGCCUUCGGGUUGUAAACCGCUUUCGCCUGUGACGAAGCGUGAGUGACGGUAAUGGGUAAAGAAGCACCGGCUAACUACGUG
RNAcentral lists this ribosomal RNA (468 nucleotides) under uncultured bacterium. RNAcentral describes it as "partial 16S ribosomal RNA". It matches the Rfam family "Bacterial small subunit ribosomal RNA", at positions 28 to 507 of the family's 1533-position model. The record is from RNAcentral.